GGGUGAUCUGCCCUGCACUCUGGGAUAAGCCUGGGAAACUGGGUCUAAUACCGGAUAGGACCACACACUUCAUGGUGAGUGGUGCAAAGCUUUUGCGGUGUGGGAUGAGCCCGCGGCCUAUCAGCUUGUUGGUGGGGUAAUGGCCCACCAAGGCGACGACGGGUAGCCGGCCUGAGAGGGUGACCGGCCACACUGGGACUGAGAUACGGCCCAGACUCCUACGGGAGGCAGCAGUGGGGAAUAUUGCACAAUGGGCGCAAGCCUGAUGCAGCGACGCCGCGUGAGGGAUGACGGCCUUCGGGUUGUAAACCUCUUUCAGUAGGGACGAAGCGAAAGUGACGGUACCUACAGAAGAAGGACCGGCCAACUACGUGCCAGCAGCCGCGGUAAUACGUAGGGUCCGAGCGUUGUCCGGAAUUACUGGGCGUAAAGAGCUCGUAGGUGGUUUGUCGCGUUGUUCGUGAAAACUCACAGCUUAACUGUGGGCGUGCGGGCGAUACGGGNNNNNCGGUCGCAAGACUAAAACUCAAAGGAAUUGACGGGGGCCCGCACAAGCGGCGGAGCAUGUGGAUUAAUUCGAUGCAACGCGAAGAACCUUACCUGGGUUUGACAUGCGCAGGACGUAUCUAGAGAUAGGUAUUCCCUUGUGGCCUGCGUGCAGGUGGUGCAUGGCUGUCGUCAGCUCGUGUCGUGAGANNNNNAACCCUUGUCCUAUGUUGCCAGCGGGUAAUGCCGGGGACUCGUAGGAGACUGCCGGGGUCAACUCGGAGGAAGGUGGGGAUGACGUCAAGUCAUCAUGCCCCUUAUGUCCAGGGCUUCACACAUGCUACAAUGGCCAGUACAGAGGGCUGCGAAGCCGCAAGGUGGAGCGAAUCCCUUAAAGCUGGUCUCAGUUCGGAUUGGGGUCUGCAACUCGACCCCAUGAAGUCGGAGUCGCUAGUAAUCGCAGAUCAGCAACGCUGCGGUGAAUACGUUCCCGGGCCUUGUACACACCGCCCGUCACGUCAUGAAAGUCGGUAACACCCGAAGCCAGUGGCCUAACCUUUUGGAGGGAGCUGUCGAAGGUGGGAU
RNAcentral lists this ribosomal RNA (1071 nucleotides) under Mycobacteroides chelonae. RNAcentral's name for it is "16S ribosomal RNA". It matches the Rfam family "Bacterial small subunit ribosomal RNA", at positions 119 to 1468 of the family's 1533-position model. The record is from RNAcentral. Lineage: Bacteria; Bacillati; Actinomycetota; Actinomycetes; Mycobacteriales; Mycobacteriaceae.